RNAcentral lists this ribosomal RNA (774 nucleotides) under uncultured Neocallimastigales. Its description in RNAcentral is "partial large subunit ribosomal RNA". It matches the Rfam family "Eukaryotic large subunit ribosomal RNA", at positions 24 to 637 of the family's 3401-position model. The record is from RNAcentral. Lineage: Eukaryota; Fungi; Neocallimastigomycota; Neocallimastigomycetes; Neocallimastigales.
GUAGUCUCGCACAGAUGCAUAUCAAUAAGCGGAGGAAAAGAAACUAACAAGGAUUCCCCUAGUAACGGCGAGUGAAGCGGGAAGAGCUCAAAUUUGAAAUCUUAAAGGGUUUCCCUUUACGAAUUGUAGUUUAAAGAAGUGUUUUCUGUUGAGGUUUUGGUAAAAGUUCUUUGGAAUAGGACAUCAUAGAGGGUGAGAAUCCCGUAUUUGACCUUUACUUUCAACUUUGUGAUACACUUUCAAAGAGUCGGAUUGUUUGGGAAUGCAGUCCAAAAUGGGUGGUAAAUUUCAUCUAAAGCUAAAUAUUGGCGAGAGACCGAUAGCGAACAAGUACCGUGAGGGAAAGAUGAAAAGAACUUUGAAAAGAGAGUUAAACAGUACGUGAAAUUGUCAAAAGGGAAGCGUUUGACACCAGUGUUGUUUUUCUGAAAAUCAAUUAAAGAACUGUUUAUGCUAAGCUGUUUAGACUUUAUCAGCUAACUGUUUAGUUUUGAGCUUUUCUUUAAUGCACUUUUCAGUUAACAAGUCAACAUCUAUUUCUUUUGCUGUAAAAAAGCUUGAGGAAGGUGGCUUGAGAUUCGUCUUAAGUGUUUAUAGCCUCUUGCCUAUGCAGUCGGAGAGAUUGAGGUCUGCAGCGUAGAUCCUUCGGGGCUAAAUGCAUUUGUGCUAAGUUAUAGCAUUUUAUAGACAACUUGUUGACUAUGAUUUGUCUUGUAGCUUACUCGCUUAUGUUAUUUUACCUACGCUUAGGAUGUUGACAGCAGUAUAGACUGU